CCCUUAGAUGUCCUGGGCUGCACGCGCGCUACACUGAUGUGUCCAGUAAGCACCUAACCUCUUCCGAAAGGAACGGGUAACCUUUGCAAAGCACAUCGUGAUGGGGAUAGAUUAUUGCAAUUAUUAGUCUUGCACGAGGAAUUCCUAGUAAGCACAAGUCAUCAGCUUGUGUUGAUUACGUCCCUGCCCUUUGUACACACCGCCCGUCGCUCCUACCGAUUGAAUGUUCCGGUGAGCUCUUCGGACUGCGCGGUCUGCAGUUUCUGCGUUCCGUGCGGAAAGUUGCGCAAACCUUAACAUUUAGAGGAAGGAGAAGUCGUAACA
Molecule: ribosomal RNA, 324 nt
Filed under: uncultured eukaryote
Lineage: Eukaryota
Description: partial 18S ribosomal RNA
Rfam family: Eukaryotic small subunit ribosomal RNA
Source: RNAcentral